CAGUAGCCGCGGUAAUACAGAGGGUGCGAGCGUUAAUCGGAUUUACUGGGCGUAAAGCGUGCGUAGGCGGCUUCUUAAGUCGGAUGUGAAAUCCCUGAGCUUAACUUAGGAAUUGCAUUCGAUACUGGGAAGCUAGAGUAUGGGAGAGGAUGGUAGAAUUCCAGGUCUAGCGGUGAAAUGCGUAGAGAUCUGGAGGAAUACCGAUGGCGAAGGCAGCCAUCUGGCCUAAUACUGACGCUGAGGUACGAAAGCAUGGGGAGCAAACAGGAUUAGAUACCCGCGUAGUCCCUGUCUCUUAUAC
RNAcentral lists this ribosomal RNA (301 nucleotides) under uncultured bacterium. Its description in RNAcentral is "partial 16S ribosomal RNA". It matches the Rfam family "Bacterial small subunit ribosomal RNA", at positions 509 to 807 of the family's 1533-position model. The record is from RNAcentral.